AUCGCUUCUCGGCCUUUUGGCUAAGAUCAAGUGUAGUAUGGAGUAUAUAUACCAUACAAAGAGACUUCAAAUCAUGUGCUGAAAAAUAGAAUUAAAGUACAAGUUUAUUUACAUGCAAAAAUUUUUGAAAUCCAGGCAUUACUUUUUUCAUAAUGUGCAUUUUU
RNAcentral lists this small nuclear RNA (164 nucleotides) under Tupaia belangeri chinensis (Chinese tree shrew). Its description in RNAcentral is "Tupaia chinensis (Chinese tree shrew) U2 spliceosomal RNA". It matches the Rfam family "U2 spliceosomal RNA". From Rfam's summary of the family: U2 is a small nuclear RNA (snRNA) component of the spliceosome (involved in pre-mRNA splicing). Complementary binding between U2 snRNA (in an area lying towards the 5' end but 3' to hairpin I) and the branchpoint sequence (BPS) of the intron results the bulging out of an unpaired adenosine, on the BPS, which initiates a nucleophilic attack at the intronic 5' splice site, thus starting the first of two transesterification reactions that mediate splicing. The record is from Rfam by way of RNAcentral. Lineage: Eukaryota; Metazoa; Chordata; Mammalia; Scandentia; Tupaiidae.